UACGUAGGGGGCAAGCGUUGUCCGGAAUCAUUAGGCGUAAAGAGCGUGUAGGCGGCUUGGUAAGUCCGCUGUGAAAGUCCAGGGCUCAACCCUGGAAUGCCGGUGGAAACUGUCAAGCUUGAGUCCGGAAGAGGCGAGUGGAAUUCCUGGUGUAGCGGUGAAAUGCGCAGAUAUCAGGAGGAACACCAAUGGCGAAGGCAGCUCGCUGGGACGGUACUGACGCUGAGACGCGAAAGCGUGGGGAGCGAACAGG
Molecule: ribosomal RNA, 253 nt
Filed under: uncultured bacterium
Lineage: Bacteria
Description: partial 16S ribosomal RNA
Rfam family: Bacterial small subunit ribosomal RNA
Source: RNAcentral